AUUGAACGCUGGCGGCAGGCUUAACACAUGCAAGUCGAGCGGUAACAGAAAGGAGCUUGCUUCUUUGCUGACGAGCGGCGGACGGGUGAGUAAUGCCUGGGAAUCUGCCUGAUAGUGGGGGAUAACUUGCCGAAAGGUAAGCUAAUACCGCAUACGUCCUACGGGAGAAAGCAGGGGAUCUUCGGACCUUGCGCUAUCAGAUGAGCCCAGGCCGGAUUAGCUAGUUGGUGGGGUAAUGGCCCACCAAGGCGACGAUCCGUAGCUGGUCUGAGAGGAUGAUCAGCCACACCGGGACUGAGACACGGCCCGGACUCCUACGGGAGGCAGCAGUGGGGAAUAUUGGACAAUGGGGGGAACCCUGAUCCAGCCAUGCCGCGUGUGUGAAGAAGGUCUUCGGAUUGUAAAGCACUUUAAGUUGGGAGGAAGGGCUUUAGGUUAAUACCCUGAAGUUUUGACGUUACCAACAGAAUAACACCGGCUAACUUCGUGCCAGCAGCCGCGGUAAUACGAAGGGUGCAAGCGUUAAUCGGAAUUACUGGGCGUAAAGCGCGCGUAAGUGGGUUGUUAAGUUGGAAGUGAAAGCCCGGGCUUAACCUGGGAAUGGCUUUCAAACUGGCGAGCUUAA
Molecule: ribosomal RNA, 625 nt
Filed under: uncultured bacterium
Lineage: Bacteria
Description: bacterial SSU rRNA
Rfam family: Bacterial small subunit ribosomal RNA
Source: RNAcentral